AGUUUUCAUUCGAAUGCCCACAUUCAAAGGCAAGGGUGUAUAAGUCACUGCUUCGUGUAAACUUGCGUGCUUUCAUAUCGAACUGCAGUGAACUAUACUAGACCCAUACCCGGGACUGGAGUAGAAUCAUGGCGGAUGGGACGGUUGGUUAUGAUAACGAAGCCUAUGUCGGAGACGGUGAUGGCAGCGGAAAGGCAAAGAAAUACCAACAGGGCGAUCACGCUGACAGCCACCGAAUGACGAAGUACGAUAAAGCGGUUCUGUUUGGAAUUAUCAUUGUAUUGGUGGCUGUUGUCGCAAUAACGCUGAUAUUUGCUGUGGACUGGACAAAUGGCGAUGACGGGAAUAUGGAUAGCCGGCAACAAGGAAGCACAAUACCGCCAACGACUCAGAUGGCAGCGGACAUGACUACAGCUGAGAGACCGCCUUGUGGGGACCUCGGUAAACCACCCCACAUUGUAUUGGUUCUGGCUGACGACGUUGGUUGGAAUGAUGUUGGCUGGAAUAACGACUUCAUGCCAACUCCUAUAUUAAAUGAAUUAGCAAGCAACGGCGUCAUUCUUAACAACACCUACUCCCAGCCUGCGUGUUCACCGUCGAGAGCAGCACUGCUAACUGGUAAAUAUCCAGCAAACGCCGGCAUACAGCAUUUGGUGGUACAGGAACAACACCCCUACUAUUUGCCACUGCACAACACUCUACUAUCUACUAAACUCAAGGAGCUGGGGUACAUGAAUCACGCGAUUGGCAAGUGGCACCUUGGAUUCUGUAACUGGAAAUAUACGCCAUUGUGGCGUGGAUUCGACUCGUUUUAUGGAAUAUUUAAUGGGUACCUGUCAGACUACAGUACACACAUUGUGCAUUCACCAUUCAUCGGCGAACCAGGUGCUUCCGGCCUAGACCUACGAGAUAAUACAGGAGUCGUGGCACACGAAAACGGCACUCACGUCACCUACUUAUUCACUGAAAGAGCCGAGAGGAUUAUUCGGAAUCAUAACCCGGCGGCACCAUUGUUCCUGUACACGGCGUUGCUAGUACCACACGGCCCACUGGAUGCUCCUCCGGGUUUUGAAAACUCCGUGGAAGUAAACGAUACGAGAAGACGCGAAUAUGCGGGCAUGAUAUCCGCAAUGGACGAAGCCGUAGGAAACAUCACGAAUGCUUUAAAAGACAAGGGGAUGUGGAAUGACACAUUGUUUAUAUUUCUGAGUGAUAACGGUGGGGAUAUGUUCUAUGCCGGAAAUAACUAUCCCUUUAGAGGAAACAAGGCCUCGCUCUGGGAAGGAAGUGUCAAAAUACCCGGAUUUAUCUACGGUAACAUGCUGGAAAAGAAAGGUUAUUCCAAUAACGAAUUGAUUCAUUUUACAGAUUUGUUUGCAACAUUGCUGAGUGCGGCAGGCGGAACACCGGAUGAUGACAUAGAUGGUAUCAACCAAUGGGACACUGUUUGUCGGGGUGACGCCUCUAAGCGGUCGGAAAUCCUCCUACAUCUUGACACGUUUGAAGCAACUAGGGGAGCUGCACUGAGGAUGAAUGACUAUAAAUACAUAGAGGGCAUCACUGAACUUGUUCCGCAGCGAGUUGAAGCUCACGAAAGAUUUCAUUUGGAUCAAUGGUAUGUUCCUGCCGAACACCCAGAUGCCCCUAUACCAGAUGCACCGCUGAUAUCACAAAAUGUUAACAAUACAUUCCUGUUCAACCUUAGAGAUGACCCACUAGAGACUACCAACCUUGCUACCGAUCCUGAAAUGCAGGACAUUUUAGAGGAAAUGCAGGCACGCCUACAAUAUUACAAAGACAACGCAGCCCCGUUAUGGUAUCCUGAAAAUAUAGAUGAAAGUGACCCUAAGUACUUUGAUGGUGCUUGGACACCGGGAUGGUGUUAGGGCUUCAUCGAAAUAGACGUGUCAGAAUCAUAUUGAGUUGUCGUUGGCUUAUGACAUGAAUUAGCAUACCACCAACCAAACAAUUACAUAUCACUAGCAGAAAGUUUGUAUACCACCAGAAAAUCACAAUGCUGAUAUUGCUCAUUAUGUACACACCCCAAGGAAAGAAACUUUGUUAUGCAUUCUUUCAGUAAAAUACUCCUUGAUAAUGUUCCAAAAUACGCCAUUAUGAACACGUCUAUUGUGCAAACGUGCUUCAUAAUUACACGGCGCUAAAUAAGAAAGACUUGUAUCAUAAAAACACGAUUUCUUGACGAGAUUUAAACAUCCCUGGUGUAUCUUACUAGUCAGUAAUUGUUUGACAGUGUCUGCAGACGUACAAUACUAUUUUCAGGGAAAGACUAUUACUGAUGAAGUCGAGACCGUCUUCCUAUAUCGCCACGUCUUAUAAAAGCACUCAACUUUAUCAUAAUAUCACGUCAUCUGACUAACCUUGGGUUUUCACUUUUAACUAUCUACACGGGAUGAAUUUUUUAACAGUUUUUUUAAUUCAUUUCAUAUGUUUUAUCUAUGCUAAGUAUCUGUUCAUGUAUAUUUUACAAUACUAAUUUACACUUGUCUUUUAAAAUAAAUCUUGACCAAUAAUAACAAUAUCUUGUAAUUUAAAAUGAGUUCCAGAGAUGUGACCGUAUUCCACUGAUGAUAUAGACACAC
Unclassified non-coding RNA from Saccoglossus kowalevskii, 2600 nucleotides. NCBI's taxonomy places the organism in Eukaryota, Metazoa, Hemichordata, Enteropneusta, Harrimaniidae. The record is from RefSeq and is a predicted model, not a curated record.